UUAAGUUCAGCGGGUAGUCCUACCUGAUUUGAGAUCAAACGUUCAAAAAGCUGUCUUCACUGAAGAAAGACGUUUAUGAGCCCCAGCGCACCUCCAUCACUGAAGGUUAUCUGGUGGAAAACCACAAGCGUAGAUAGUUAUCACACCUGCGACGCCACCAAACACUGGGAAGCUGAUUCAUUUGAGAGGAGCCGACCACA
This 200-nucleotide unclassified non-coding RNA is filed under the name Tomentella sp. Its description in RNAcentral is "partial internal transcribed spacer 2". The record is from RNAcentral. Lineage: Eukaryota; Fungi; Basidiomycota; Agaricomycetes; Thelephorales; Thelephoraceae.